CCUACGGGGGGCUGCAGUGGGGAAUAUUGGACAAUGGGGGGAACCCUGAUCCAGCCAUGCCGCGUGUGUGAAGAAGGCCCUCGGGUUGUAAAGCACUUUCAGUGAGGAAGAACGCCUGGUGGUUAAUACCCAUCAGGAAAGACAUCACUCACAGAAGAAGCACCGGCUAACUCCGUGCCAGCAGCCGCGGUAAUACGGAGGGGUGCGAGCGUUAAUCGGAAUUACUGGGCGUAAAGCGCGCGUAGGUGGCUUGAUAAGCCGGUUGUGAAAGCCCCGGGCUCAACCUGGGAACGGCAUCCGGAACUGUCAAGCUAGAGUGCAGGAGAGGAAGGUAGAAUUCCCGGUGUAGCGGUGAAAUGCGUAGAGAUCGGGAGGAAUACCAGUGGCGAAGGCGGCCUUCUGGACUGACACUGACACUGAGGUGCGAAAGCGUGGGUAGCAAACAGGAUUAGAUACCCUUGUAGUC
RNAcentral lists this ribosomal RNA (466 nucleotides) under Vreelandella stevensii. Its description in RNAcentral is "partial 16S ribosomal RNA". It matches the Rfam family "Bacterial small subunit ribosomal RNA", at positions 338 to 795 of the family's 1533-position model. The record is from RNAcentral. Lineage: Bacteria; Pseudomonadati; Pseudomonadota; Gammaproteobacteria; Oceanospirillales; Halomonadaceae.